AGCAAUUCGGUGUGUCUCCCCGGCGAUCACCUGAGACUAGCCUGCGGUAGAAAGGAGCGUUUAGUGAUCUCAGUCGUUUCUCUCUAGACAACCUCUUGUGCGUUUGUCAGUUCCGAAGGUGCUCCAACCCAUGUGUGAGGAGUGCUUGGGUAACGGGACGUACUGUAGGAAAGUUAAGGUGUGCAGAGUCUCUAGGAGAUACUGUGAGGCAUCGGAACAGUGAGAUUGACCAGAGAUAGCGAAAGUUGAAGAAUCGAAGAAUUGAAAUAUGUGGAAGCAAACUGAUCUUAGGUAAGUGUUAUUGUAAUCGAUAAAACGGUACAACGUACAAGUCAUAUAGAAUCAUCCACAGUGCAUUACCCCAUUACACUAAUAGACGGGUUCUGGAGGAAGGGAACAUUAUCAAUGAUGUCCGCGUACAACUGGAGCUGGACAUGGAGGAGAGCACGGCAGAGCCAGACGAAACUGAAGCUGAGGACGACAAGAUGGAGAGCGCACAGUCAGUCAGGAAGAAGGUGUUAUCGUCGCGCCUAAAGGGAUAUGAAAAUUGAAAUUCCGCUGAGUGUUAGUUAGGUUUUAUUAGCAUAUGACGACCAUUUUUAUUAACUUAUUCCUAAAUAAUUAAUUAAUCAUUUAAGUAAAACUUAAAAACGGAACUGGGUUGAAGCAACCCUAGUCCAGAAUACUAUUCUAUUGCAGUCGCCCACUCUGUUUUUUUCCUCAUCGAUCCUUAAGUGUCGUCCAUCAUUAGUGCUUUCAAUCCCU
RNAcentral lists this long non-coding RNA (765 nucleotides) under Zostera marina. RNAcentral's name for it is "long non-coding RNA (ZMAR_LNC001051)". The record is from RNAcentral. Lineage: Eukaryota; Viridiplantae; Streptophyta; Magnoliopsida; Alismatales; Zosteraceae.